GAUGAACGCUAGCUACAGGCUUAACACAUGCAAGUCGAGGGGCAGCAUGCAGGUAGCUUGCUAUCUGUGAUGGCGACCGGCGCACGGGUGAGUAACGCGUAUCCAACCUUCCCCGCAGUAGGGCAUAGCCCGGCGAAAGUCGGAUUAAUACCCUAUGUUCUCCUUAACAGGCAUCUAACGAGGAGCAAAGAUUGAUCGCUGUGGGAUGGGGAUGCGUCUGAUUAGCUUGAUGGCGGGGUAACGGCCCACCAUGGCAACGAUCAGUAGGGGGUUCUGAGAGGAAGGUCCCCCCACACUGGUACUGAGACACGGACCAGACUCC
RNAcentral lists this ribosomal RNA (322 nucleotides) under uncultured Bacteroidales bacterium. RNAcentral's name for it is "bacterial SSU rRNA". It matches the Rfam family "Bacterial small subunit ribosomal RNA", at positions 28 to 339 of the family's 1533-position model. Lineage: Bacteria; Pseudomonadati; Bacteroidota; Bacteroidia; Bacteroidales. The record is from RNAcentral.